CGGAAUCACUGGGCUUAAAGCGUGUGUAGGCGGUUCGUUAAGUGUCUUGUGAAAUCCCACGGCUCACCCGUGGAACUGCUGGGCAUACUGGCGAUCUUGGGCCAACUAGGGGCAACUGGAACAAGCGGUGGAGCGGUGAAAUGCGUAGAUAUCGCUUGGAACGCCAAAGGUGAAAACAGGUUGCUGGGGUUGUGCCGACGCUGAGACACGAAAGCCAGGGGAGCAAACGGG
RNAcentral lists this ribosomal RNA (231 nucleotides) under uncultured bacterium. Its description in RNAcentral is "partial 16S ribosomal RNA". It matches the Rfam family "Bacterial small subunit ribosomal RNA", at positions 546 to 776 of the family's 1533-position model. The record is from RNAcentral.